Molecule: non-coding RNA, 148 nt
Organism: Homo sapiens (human)
Lineage: Eukaryota; Metazoa; Chordata; Mammalia; Primates; Hominidae
Rfam family: Metazoan signal recognition particle RNA
About the family: The signal recognition particle (SRP) is a universally conserved ribonucleoprotein. It is involved in the co-translational targeting of proteins to membranes.
Source: Rfam
GCCAGGUGUGGAGGCACAUACCUGUAGUCCCAGCCAUUCGGGAGGCUGAGGCAGGAAGAUCACUUGAGCCCAGGAGAUCUGGGCUGCAGUAAGCUAUGAUGGCAACACUGCACUCCAGCCUGGGAGACAGAGUGAGACCCUGUCUCAA